UGCUAGCCAAGGCUCCAAGCCUCAGAAG
RNAcentral lists this non-coding RNA (28 nucleotides) under Mus musculus (house mouse). The record is from RNAcentral. Lineage: Eukaryota; Metazoa; Chordata; Mammalia; Rodentia; Muridae.